Stegostoma tigrinum is the source of this 6836-nucleotide long non-coding RNA. RefSeq lists it as uncharacterized. Lineage: Eukaryota; Metazoa; Chordata; Chondrichthyes; Orectolobiformes; Stegostomatidae. The record is from RefSeq and is a predicted model, not a curated record. The transcript is spliced from 4 exons.
UCUACAGUGCAAAAGGAUGCCAUAUCACUCAUCGUUUUUGUGUCAGAUUUCCUAAUGAGUAGUGUACUUAACGCUAUUCUCCUGCCUUCUCCUAAUAACUCAGCACUUUCACAAAUAACCAUCUAAUUUCCUUCCAAAUGCUUCAAUUUAACCUGUCUCUAUCACACUCUGUGUAUUGCAGAUCCUAAUCUGUUGUUGAGGGAAAAAUAGUUUUCCUAUGUUACUUUGCAUCUUUUACUGACAACUUAAAACCGUAUCUUUGAAUUCUCCUCAACACCUUCACUAAUUUUCUCAAUCUUCAUAUCUAUCUUCACAACUGCAAUUCUCCAUUCCCAGAACCAUUUUCAGAAGCUCCUUCUUUAUUCCUUGCAAUGCUUUCACAUUAGCCCUAAAGUGUGGGGUACAGGAUUGGACGCAAUAUUCCAGCUAAGGCCAAAUUAGCAUAUUAGGGACCCUUAAGACAUGUCGAAGCAAGUGGAGAAAUGGGCGAUUAUGCUCUUAUCAUAAAUGCAACCUGACUAUCCUUGUUCCAGUCUUCACUCCAGGAAAGUUUUCUUCUGUUCUGGAAGAUAUUCUGACAAGAAUUUUACUUGUGAAGUGCCAGCCUCUCUACAACAGAGUAGUUAUCAAAUCCGUUUCUUCUAGACCCGAAACAUCAGCUUUCCUGCUCCUCUGAUGCUGCUUGGCCUGCUGUGUUCAUCCAGCUCUACGCCUUGUUAUCUCAGAUUCUCCAGCAUUGGCAGUUCCUACUAUCUCUGACGUUAUUAAGUGUUGACAUUGCAUCACCAGAGAGAUCUUCGUGUUGGCGCAAAUGUGUCUGCGCCCUGCAGUCAAGCUUUUUUUUUAAACUGGUUUUCUGCUCAGAUCCUGAAGUAAACUUAGUUUCUAAUCAUUGUUUUUAAAAUUCUCUGAGAAUGAACUUGUAUGGAGAAAGGAACAGCUUUGAACUUAGUAUUUUUAUAAGAAGUCUCUGCUGUUCUGUACACUGCAGUGGAGGUCAGUUAGUUCAAUUGGCUAAACAGCUAGUUUAUAAUACAGUGUGGUACCAACAGCACAGGUUCAAUUCCUGCACCAGCUGAGGUUAUCAUAAAGGAUUCUCCUCUCAGCUGAGGGUAGCCCUCAGAUGAAACCACAAAUCUGACUGUCUCUGCAUGCAUGCAUGCAUGUAUGUCUCUGAUACUCAGUAGGACACAAGGUAUUAUGGGAUGGAAAUUCUUUCCUUAAUCAGAAAACACCUUGACUAAUUCCCUUGCUUGUUAUUAUAAAGUAAAUGCCAAUGCUAAACUACAAAUCAUGGUUAUUCUAUUGAACAAUUUGGGGUCAGAAACUGAGCAAUAUUCUGUUUGAAAAGUGAAUUAAGUAUUUCAGGCAGAUGCCAAAAGCUUCAUGCUUCUUAAACAAGGGAUGAUAAUUUAGAUUCUUUUUGAAGUGCUCAAUGUCUAACUGUGAUGCAAUGCUGGAACGUUGUGCAAGUAUGUAGCUGCAGUUUCCUCAAUCCAUCCAUACAGACUUUUGCUUUAGCAAUUUCUAUCAUCUUUGAAAUUUGAAAAAAAAAUUACAUUUUCCUCUGACAGAUUUAAAAUGUGCUGGUAAUACUGGCACUUAGGUUGCCCGAAUCUGUGUUGUAAUAUUCCAUGAUUCUUGAACGUUCCACCUCUCCUGUCAAAAUUACAAUGAGUAAUGGAUACCUCCAAUGGAAUUUCAAACUGUACACAGUUUAGCAUCUUGGUUUACGCAUCUGGCUGUCAUUUUUAAAUAUAAUUAAUGCUACUGGCAUAUUUCUUGUGUUGCAGAUGAUACAUAAUACAUGUAUAUAUGCGAGAAUAAUUUCAAAGAAAUUAUUAUUCCAGACAGUUAUCUGUUUGUGUAUCAGUCUACUCAAUUUGGACAAUUGUUAACUUGAUGCCUUGGUUAGAUGGAUGACAGGCCAGCUGCUGGGUGUUUUGAGGUCUUCCCUAACAGGUAGCGGUUUUUGUGUCGAUAUUGUUUUGAGUCCCUUUGUUCUGGAAAUCAAAUAAACAAAUUAAGACAUGUUAUUGAAGGGUGGUGGUGUGGAAAGGUUCUUCCUCCAUUUGGCAGAGAGUUCAUAAUGAGCAGCCUGAUAUAGGGUUGACAUUUGAUAGACACUGCUCAGCUGAAAAAUCAUUUGAAGCCAGCAGAGAAACAUUAGACCAAAGAUUUAAUGACUGUUCUGCAGAGAAUCAUCCUAAAAGAGAUUUUAUUUUAAGGUUCAGUCUCACAUUACAUAUUAGUCUGACAAAGCAGUUCUGGUCGUCCAUAUCCCAACAACCUAUAAAGUGAACCCAAGGAAUGCAUCUGACCCUGACAGAUUCCCCAGCUGUGCGUUCAGAUCCCUUACAGAUCAAUUGGUGGAAAUAUUCUCUGACAUCUUUAACGUCUCCUUGCCAGAACCUGAAGUCCCCACCUGCUUCAAGAAGACAGUCAUCAUCCCAGUACUGAGGAAUACAUAUGCAAAUUGCCUCAAUGGCUACUGCCCAGUGGCUCUGACCUCCGUAAUCAUGAAAUGUUUCAAGAGGUUAGUCAUAGCCCAUAUCAACUUUAGCCUCCCAGCCUGCCUCAAUCCCUUAGAGUUUGCUGACUGGCAAAACAGUUCUGCAGUCGAUCCAUUUCCCUCGCCCUGGAACAUCUAGUUAAUAAGGAUACCUAUGUCAGGUUCCUACAAAUUGAAUACUGCUCUGCUUUCAACACUAUAAUCCUAACUAAAGAAAUCUCAACUCUGAGACCUAUGUCUUAGCUCCAGCCUCCGCAACUGAAUCCUCAGCUCCUGACCCACAGGCUACAAUCUGUGGAGAUGGACAACAGCAUCCCAUACAUGAUAAUUCUCAACACUGGCAUCCUGCAUAGAUGCAUACUCAACCCCUUACUGUAUUCCCUGCACACCCACGAAUCUGUAGACAAAUUUCAUCCAAACACCAUCUACAAGUUUGCUGAUGACGCAAGCAUUGUAGGCCAGAUAUCAAAAAAUAAAAAGUCAGAAUACAGGAAGGAGGUAGAAUGCUUGGUGUUGUGGUGCUAUGAUAACAAUCUCUCAAUGUCAGCAAAACUAAAGAACUGAUCGUUGGCUUCAGGAAGAAAGGAGGAGGACACUUCUCUGUCUACAUCAAGGAGCUGAGGUGGGGAAAGUUGAGGAUGUCAAGUUCCUAGGAGUGAUGAAAUCCAACAAUCUGUCCUGGACUUCCCACAUAAAUGCAACAAUCGAGAAGGCAUAACAACACCUCUUCUUCAGAAGGCUCAGGAAAUUUGGCAUGCCCAUAAUGACUCUCACCAAUUUUUACAGAUGCGCCAUAGAAAGUGUUCUAUCUGGGUGCAUAACGACUUGGUAUGGCAACUGCUCUGCCCAGGACUGUAAGAAACUACAAACUGUUGUGUUUGCAGCCAGAACUUCACGAAAACCAGCCCCCCAUCCACGGGCUCCAUGUACAUUCCUCAUUACCGUGGAAAGGCUGCCAACAUAAAAGAUCCCUCCCACCCCAGUAAUACUCUCUUCCAACAUCUUCUGCCAGGCAGAAGAUACCAACGCUUAAACACAUGUAGCAACAGUUUCAAGAACAGCUUCUUCCUUGCUGUUUAUUAGACUGCUGAAUGCACCACUCUAAUUUCUAAUCUAAUGUUGACCUUGCUUUUGUGCACAUCCUGUGCAACUGUAAUCUUGUAUGCCUCACUUUGUCAAAGCACCCUAUGAUCUGUAUGCCCUUAUGCUCUGCCCGAACUGCUCACCAAAUGAAACUUUUCACUGUACUUGGGUACAUAUGACAACAACAAAUCAAAACAUGAAUCAAAUCAAAGUAAUUAUGGUAAAAUUAUGGCUUAUUCUUAUUUUUGUUCAUUUCCAAUUGACUAUUCAAUAAACUUGCUAACACUAUGUAAUAAGCCAUUAAUUUAUAUGAAGUUAAGCCUUCCAUUUCUACACUGUAUCAUCUGGCCUAAUCUUGUUCAGUUUCUGGCUUUUGAUAACAAAAUUUUGAUACUGGUGAAUUAAAUGAUCAUAAUGUCAAGGGAAGAUAGUCAGACUCUCUUUUUGAAAUGUUCAUUGACUGGCACUUGUAUGGCACAAAUGCUACUUGCCACUUAUCGCAUGUUUGGAUGUUGCCCAGAUCCGUGUAAGUGAACAAAAACUGAUUCCGUUUUUGAAGAGUUGAGAAUGAUGCUGAACAUUGUGCUAUCAUUAGAAAAUAUCCUCACCCCAAGAUAGAGAGAAAACGUAUUAAUAAAGCAGCUGAAGAUAUUUGGAGCUGGGAUGUUAUCUUGAGUUACACUUGCAGAGCGAUCCCAGGUUUGAGCUGAUUAACUUGCCAAAACCCACAACAAUCUUCCUUUAUGUCAUGAUUCCCAUAAACUUCACUUUUUAGGGCUUCUUGGUACAAUAUUUAGUGAAGUGUGAUAUUGAUGUCAGGAGCAGUUACUCUCGUUUCUCUUCUGGAGCUUAGCUUUUUCAUCCAUAUCUGGACCAGGGCUAAAAUGCGGUUGGAAGCUAAGUAGUCCUGACAAAACCAAAGUGUCAGUGAGCAAGUUUUUUUUGAGUUAUUGACAUUUGGUAGUACUGUUAAAACUCCUAACUAUCCAAAAUACUGAAAUAAAAACUCUUAGCAUCUACACAGCAGUCAUGAUUUCUUAUGUUGACUUCAGUUUUGGAUGUUAUUUACCUCGAUCCAACUCUUUCCUUUACCCUUCUGCUCCUGUAUCUGUGGCUGUUGAUUCUCCAAUGAAUUGAUUAGAUGCAAAAAUACUGAAUUCUCUCAUUGAAAUACAGAUACAUAACCUAGUUGCAUGCCUUUCAAGCCUUAAGUUCAAUGCACCUCCUUCUGAGUUUGUAGUCACAUUUUUAAAAAAUUCCUCCUGUGUUUAAUUUGUUCUGCUGUUUCUUUAUAUCCAAACUUCAAUUUCUUGGCAUACUUUAUUGGAUACAAAUAACACACUAUUCAAACAAUGGAUGUCACAGCUUCUUCAUUUUGUCCUACAUGGAAAUAUGUUUAAUAAAGGGCUACAUAAGUCAUGAAUAAUUAUUUCUUCAUCAUUCUCAAAUUUUCUUGUUCCUUGCCCACAUAAAAUGCAGGUAAAUCAACAUCUUAAGAUAUAUUAACUAACAUGCUUCUUAAUGCUGCCAAUGGGGGCUUGGUGUUACCACUUAAGUAGGUGGGUUCAAGACUUCUGAACACCAUCAGCCCUUCAAAUAAAUCUAAUUUCUGCCUUUCGCAAAGGGAAGUAUGUUUUCCUUAGGGCGCUGACUUAUCCUCCUACUUUGUUACUCGUACAUACUAUUAGAUAAGUUAGAGAUGGUAAAAUGCACUGUCAGGAGUUGCAGCCAGACGUUUAGUCUAUCAAGUAUGAACUGGAUUCUGAAUCCUUAUGAAUAUUUAUGAACAAUCUGUUAUAAAUUAACAAUAAAGUUCUCAGUUAGAGAAAAAAAGUAGUAUGCCUUAUCAUGUAAAGAAUUCUAUUCCACAGCAAUAGAUUGACAAAACCUUCACUAAUUGAAUAUAGUUAUUUGUAAUCUCAAUUUGGACAGCUACUCUAAAAUGGUACUCAAUCCUAUAUCAAACAAAUAAAGAUGGUGCAUUGGCAACAAUAUAGAGUCUGAAUAUAUUCCAGAACAAAUCAGUGACCAAAUUCAUAAACAAUGCGAGUAUGUUGUAAUUGUGUUCGUAUCACCCAGGAAUGUUAUACAAAUUCUUCAUUGUGUGGUUUAUUUUUUAGCUCAGAAAGGUUCAUACUAAUUUUGGAUAUUUUGGUAAUAGCAUUUACAUUUCAGUAACCUGCGAUUUUAAGUGAUGUUGGAAUAGAAUUUGACAUUGCUUUGUUACAUGGUAAGUUCUUAAGGACACCAUUGCAAACUGUAAUUGUGGCAUGUUGAUAGAACACCAUGGUUUAUUAUUGUGAUAUUAACCAGAUACUAGUCAACCUCUCUACUGGUCAUAACAGCAGCUGGGAGAGUUCACUGAUAGCAUAUUGCAUUCAUUAAAUUUUUAAAAAGUCACGUUGUACCUUUUUAUUUUCCCCUCAAUCACUGGCGCCUCUCCCCGUUCUCAAUGACAUCCAAAAAUUCUACAAAAGACAGAAAUUAACAUCUCCCCUGCCAGCAUCCUAAUUAAAACCCAUAAUGAAAGAAAUUAACUCAGAAUUGAAGCCUAUUGGACGAAUCGGCGUUGUGUUUGAUGAAUAGCCGUUUUUAGAAGGAGAAAACUGUGUACUGACAUUCCUCAGGGGGCAGUGUUCAAAAUAUAUGUUUAUACACUCAAGUUCAAUUGAUUAAUAAAGGGUGUAAUUUUAAAGUAUAGGGUGACAGAAAUUUUCCAUAUAGUGAGGUUUGAAAACUCCCAGAAGAUGUUAACCAACUGGUUUAAAGGUCUGACUAAAAGAUGGUAGUUAACUGGGGAGUGGAAGAUAUUAUUUUAACCAGUUUUCUUUAAAUCACAUGGCUGGUGGUUACUGCUUAUUGUUCUGUAGAUGAUUGAGGUGGUUUUCACCAGUGACUGGCUUGGAGAGAGGUAUGCGUUUCUGGCUCAGUUGGAACAAAGCCUGAUAAGAACAAACUGAGCUGGAGGAAACCUCACCAAUUGUUCUUUUUCAUUUCUGAAAAGAAAACUCUGAACUGUAUUUAUUCUUUUGAACAAAUAUGUUUCCUGCGCAAUCUGUAUCUUCAAGACUUCAGAGACAGCCAUGUUGAUUAAUAACUUAGCCAAUGCAGCAGAACAUCAGAGCAAACAAAUUCUGAUAUUUUCCACAUUUUAUUCUUUUGCUUUUAAAAUAAUUCAUUGGCUCUAUUUCCUUUCUCCCCUUCUUUUUUUCUUGAAUCUGUGUGCCUGUGUGUUUUCUGU